UACGGAGGGGGCGAGCGUUGUCCGAAGUUACUGGGCGUAAAGAGCGUGUAGGCGGCCAAGCAGGUCAGCUGUGAAAACUCGAGGCUCAACCUCGAGACGUCGGUUGAAACCGCUUGGCUAGAGUCCGGAAGAGGAGAGUGGAAUUCCCGGUGUAGCGGUGAAAUGCGCAGAUAUCGGGAAGAACACCCGUGGCGAAGGCGGCUCUCUGGGACGGUACUGACGCUGAGACGCGAAAGCGUGGGGAGCGAACAGG
This 253-nucleotide ribosomal RNA is filed under the name uncultured bacterium. RNAcentral describes it as "partial 16S ribosomal RNA". It matches the Rfam family "Bacterial small subunit ribosomal RNA", at positions 524 to 776 of the family's 1533-position model. The record is from RNAcentral.